This 253-nucleotide ribosomal RNA is filed under the name uncultured bacterium. Its description in RNAcentral is "partial 16S ribosomal RNA". It matches the Rfam family "Bacterial small subunit ribosomal RNA", at positions 524 to 776 of the family's 1533-position model. The record is from RNAcentral.
UACGUAGGGUGCAAGCGUUAAUCGGAAUUACUGGGCGUAAAGCGUACGCAGGCGGCUUUGCAAGACAGGUGUGAAAUCCCCGGGCUUAACCUGGGAACUGCGCUUGUUACUGGCAGGCUGGAGUGUGGCAGAGGGGGGUGGAAUUCCACGUGUAGCAGUGAAAUGCGUAGAGAUGUGGAGGAACACCGAUGGCGAAGGCAGCCCCCUGGGCUAACACUGACGCUCAUGCACGAAAGCGUGGGGAGCAAACAGG